AUUGAACGCUGGCGGCAGGCUUAACACAUGCAAGUCGAGCGGAGCGAGGGUGCUUGCACCUUAGCUUAGCGGCGGACGGGUGAGUAAUGCUUAGGAAUCUGCCUAUUAGUGGGGGACAACAUUCCGAAAGGAAUGCUAAUACCGCAUACGCCCUACGGGGGAAGGCAGGGGAUGUUCGGACCUUGCGCUAUUAGAUGAGCCUAAGUCGAAUUAGCUAGUUGGUGGGGUAAAGGACUACCAAGGCGACGAUCUGUAGCGGGUCUGAGAGGAUGAUCCGCCACACUGGGACUGAGACACGGCCCAGACUCCUACGGGAGGCAGCAGUGGGGAAUAUUGGACAAUGGGCGGAAGCCUGAUCCAGCCAUGCCGCGUGUGUGAAGAAGGCCUUUUGGUUGUAAAGCACUUUAAGCGAGGAGGAGGCUACUUAGAUUAAUACUCUGGGAUAGUGGACGUUACUCGCAGAAUAAGCACCGGCUAACUCUGUGCCAGCCGCCGCGGUAA
RNAcentral lists this ribosomal RNA (501 nucleotides) under uncultured bacterium. Its description in RNAcentral is "partial 16S ribosomal RNA". It matches the Rfam family "Bacterial small subunit ribosomal RNA", at positions 30 to 523 of the family's 1533-position model. The record is from RNAcentral.